Molecule: ribosomal RNA, 1371 nt
Filed under: uncultured bacterium
Lineage: Bacteria
Description: bacterial SSU rRNA
Rfam family: Bacterial small subunit ribosomal RNA
Source: RNAcentral
GAUGAACGCUGGCGGCGUGCCUAAUACAUGCAAGUCGAGCGAACGGACAAGGAGCUUGCUCCUUUGAAGUUAGCGGCGGACGGGUGAGUAACACGUGGGUAACCUACCUAUAAGACUGGAAUAACUCCGGGAAACCGGGGCUAAUGCCGGAUAACAUGUUGAACCGCAUGGUUCAACAGUGAAAGACGGUCUUGCUGUCACUUAUAGAUGGACCCUCGCCGUAUUAGCUAGUUGGUGGGGUAACGGCCUACCAAGGCGACGAUACGUAGCCGACCUGAGAGGGUGAUCGGCCACACUGGAACUGAGACACGGUCCAGACUCCUACGGGAGGCAGCAGUAGGGAAUCUUCCGCAAUGGGCGAAAGCCUGACGGAGCAACGCCGCGUGAGUGAUGAAGGUCUUCGGAUCGUAAAGCUCUGUUGUUAGGGAAGAACAAAUGUGUAAGUAACUGUGCACGUCUCGACGGUACCUAACCAGAAAGCCACGGCUAACUACGUGCCAGCAGCCGCGGUAAUACGUAGGUGGCAAGCGUUAUCCGGAAUUAUUGGGCGUAAAGCGCGCGUAGGCGGUUUUUUAGUCUGAUGUGAAAGCCCACGGCUCAACCGUGGAGGGUCAUUGGAAACUGGAAAACUUGAGUGCAGAAGAGGAAAGUGGAAUUCCAUGUGUAGCGGUGAAAUGCGCAGAGAUAUGGAGGAACACCAGUGGCGAAGGCGGCUUUCUGGUCUGCAACUGACGCUGAUGUGCGAAAGCGUGGGGAUCAAACAGGAUUAGAUACCCUAGUAGUCCACGCCGUAAACGAUGAGUGCUAAGUGUUAGGGGGUUUCCGCCCCUUAGUGCUGCAGCUAACGCAUUAAGCACUCCGCCUGGGGAGUACGGUCGCAAGACUGAAGCUCAAAGGAAUUGACGGGGACCCGCACAAGCGGUGGAGCAUGUGGUUUAAUUCGAAGCAACGCGAAGAACCUUACCAAAUCUUGACAUCCUUUGACCGCUCUAGAGAUAGAGUUUUCCUCUUCGGAGGACAAAGCGACAGGUGGUGCAUGGUUGUCGUCAGCUCGUGUCGUGAGAUGUUGGGUUAAGUCCCGCAACGAGCGCAACCCUUGAGCUUAGUUGCCAUCAUUAAGUUGGGCACUCUAAGUUGACUGCCGGUGACAAACCGGAGGAAGGUGGGGAUGACGUCAAAUCAUCAUGCCCCUUAUGAUUUGGGCUACACACGUGCUACAAUGGACAAUACAAAGGGCAGCGAAACCGCGAGGUCAAGCAAAUCCCAUAAAGUUGUUCUCAGUUCGGAUUGUAGUCUGCAACUCGACUACAUGAAGCUGGAAUCGCUAGUAAUCGUAGAUCAGCAUGCUACGGUGAAUACGUUCCCGGGUCU